Molecule: ribosomal RNA, 253 nt
Filed under: uncultured bacterium
Lineage: Bacteria
Description: partial 16S ribosomal RNA
Rfam family: Bacterial small subunit ribosomal RNA
Source: RNAcentral
UACAGAGGGUGCGAGCGUUGUCCGGAAUCACUGGGCGUAAAGGGCGCGUAGGCGGCUUGAUAAGCGUGCGGUGAAAGCCCGGGGCUCAACCCCGGGUCGGCCGUGCGAACUGUCGAGCUGGAGCACUGUAGAGGCAGGUGGAAUUCCGGGUGUAGCGGUGGAAUGCGUAGAGAUCGGCAGGAAGACCAAGGGGGAAGCCAGGCACCUGGGCCCGUACUGACACUCAUGGACGACCGCGUGGGGAGCGAACCGG